This 24-nucleotide non-coding RNA is filed under the name Arabidopsis thaliana (thale cress). Lineage: Eukaryota; Viridiplantae; Streptophyta; Magnoliopsida; Brassicales; Brassicaceae. The record is from RNAcentral.
UCUACUUUUUCUACUAUCCUGGGC